This 433-nucleotide ribosomal RNA is filed under the name uncultured bacterium. Its description in RNAcentral is "partial 16S ribosomal RNA". It matches the Rfam family "Bacterial small subunit ribosomal RNA", at positions 29 to 507 of the family's 1533-position model. The record is from RNAcentral.
AACGAACGCUGGCGGCAUGCCUAACACAUGCAAGUCGAACGAGACCUUCGGGUCUAGUGGCGCACGGGUGCGUAACGCGUGGGAACCUGCCCUUAGGUUCGGAAUAACUCCCCGAAAGGGGUCCUAAUACCGGAUAAUGUCUUCGGACCAAAGAUUUAUCGCCUUUGGAUGGGCCCGCGUUGGAUUAGCUAGUUGGUAGGGUAAAAGCCUACCAAGGCGACGAUCCAUAGCUGGUCUGAGAGGAUGAUCAGCCACACGGGGACUGAGACACGGCCCAGACUCCUACGGGAGGCAGGAGGGGGGAAUAUUGGAAAAUGGGAGAGCGCGUGAGCCAGAAACGGCGUGGGAGUGAUGAAGGCAUUAGGGUUGUACAGCUCUUUUACGCGGGAUGAUAAUGACAGUACCGGGAGAAUAAGCACCGGCUAACUCCGUG